This is a long non-coding RNA of Pomacea canaliculata, 580 nucleotides long. RefSeq lists it as uncharacterized. The transcript is spliced from 4 exons. The record is from RefSeq and is a predicted model, not a curated record. Lineage: Eukaryota; Metazoa; Mollusca; Gastropoda; Architaenioglossa; Ampullariidae.
CUCGCUGUUUCUGAUUGGCUGCGAAGUCGCUGAUCAACAGAUGUCCUGUCACUGACUAGAGAUUUAAAAGGUAGGAAUGACGAGCUGAGUCGGACCAGACUACCUGUUUCUUUGAUUCUAAUAUCAUCAGAAGAAAUUGAAGCCUAUUGUUUCCUAUAGAAGCGACAAUGUACAAGUUCCUCAUUGUCACUCUGCUCCUUGUCUGCCUGUGUGUGACGGAGGUGUCGUCUGCUAUUUAUGAAGGUCAAUGCCCACAGCAACCAGUUCGAUUUGAAACACCCGAACAAUUGCGUCAGUACCUGGAAAAUCUACAAUACUGCUUGAUGCUAGCUACCCGACCAAGGUACCGGCGAGACAUCGACUUAUAAAUGAUCCGCCAUGCUUACGAGGGCGGAAACUGCAGAUUCCCCCAUCUCUUUCGAAAUUCGGCCAUAGCUUCAUAAUCCCUUGGCACUGUCAUGGAGGCACCACCAUGUAGGUCUUCGUCUCACGGGAGUCUGCACUAGUGCCAUUCAAACAUUUGUCUCAAUAUUGUCUCGCGUUGUCAUCUGUCGCUGCAAUAAAAGACUGAUUUGAGCUA